GGGUUCUGAAACAAGGUUCUGAGAACCGGACCGGUCAUCAAACCGCUUUAGUUAUUGGUUCAUUGGUUUACUGGUCUAACCGGUCUAACCGGUAGUUCAACCGAAAAAACCGUUUUAAAAUGGAAUAAUAAAUAAAUUAUAAAUAUGCAAGUAUUAAGUUGAGGGUAUAAGGUUGUAUGAAGUUUUUCUAAUGGAGUGGUGAAUUCCUCUCUUAGGAUUUUCCUUUUUUAAUAUUAAAUGCAAAAUUGCCAGAUGAAAGCAUGAUACCAAGCAAGUACAAUUCCUCAUCAGUACACAAAAUGUUAAAAGAAAUAUCUGACAAGAAUAGGAAGAAUAUCAAAUGAAUUAUCAUAAAUCCAACUAAAAAUAAACAUAGUACUCGGAUAAAUAAAUUUGAUAACAUUAUUAAUAACAAAGUUGGUAGUGGACUGUGCUAGAAAGGCUUCACCAAAUGAAGGUGCAUACAGGCUUUUAGAGACAAUAGACUUGGAUUUGUGCAGUAGCAUUUUGGAUGAGUUGCUUUGAAGACCAUUUGGUAAAACUAAGCUUUGAAUAGGUACAAUACAGGCUUCACCAAAUGCUCAUAACACACACAAAGACAGUUUCUCAAGAUACAUAAAUAAGUGCUCAUCCUCUAAAAAUAAUCAUCUGAAUCGGUAUAAGGCAGGAAAAAAUGACUAUAAGUCUCUUUACCCAAGUCAAAAUAAACAACCAUAUCUGAAUUCAACAAUCAGCAUUCAGCACCAAAUAUUACAAAACAUUAACCAAUAAUCACACUAAACCUGCAACCAGCAAUUACAAAACAGCAACAAACAUGAGUACAUUAUAAAACAUUCCAAAACAGUGAUGACACUAAACCUGCAUAGUAAAUAAUCUCAAAGACAAUGAUCACCAAUAUCCAGCAAAUAAACAAUAAAUACACAACAACAAUUUAGCAAAUAAACAAGAACAAGACCUAAAUAGAAAAUCCAACAAAUUAAGUCGCAGCAACCUAACAAUUUGACAAAUUAAAACAACAGUAGCCCAACAAUUUACCAAAUUAUCAACUUAACAAAUUCAAGAACAGAAAAUCACAACAAAACAAAAAAAAUUAAAAGUAACAGAAGAACACAAGAACAAUUAGCAAAUUAACAAGUUCACAAUAACAGUUAAAAAAUUUACCAGAAGAACACUAAUGCAAGUGGAAUCAUCAUGCUAAUAUGUUUUCUGCAAAGAUGCUAUUUGUACAGCUAUAAUUUCCUAAUUACUAUGAUCCAAUUAUUCUAAUUUCACAUGCAAUCAACUUAGUAAGUUUCUAAAAGCUAGAAAUUAUAAAACCAACCAGAAAUAUGGUUAAAGCAUUUCAUCAAACAUGUUGAGUGCGGUAAAAUUAAAACGAAAUAAGAGAAUUCAAAGCUUAAUUUCAAUGUGACAGAGAAGAGAACAUAACUAUUGUAACUUUAAUUUAG
Arachis ipaensis is the source of this 1448-nucleotide non-coding RNA. The record is from RefSeq and is a predicted model, not a curated record. NCBI's taxonomy places the organism in Eukaryota, Viridiplantae, Streptophyta, Magnoliopsida, Fabales, Fabaceae.